UACGAAGGUCCCAAGCGUUAUCCGGAUUUAUUGGGUUUAAAGGGUGCGUAGGCGGGCUAUUAAGUCAGUGGUGAAAGCCCCAAGCUUAACUUGGGAACUGCCAUUGAUACUGAUGGUCUUGAGUACAUUUGAGGUGGGCGGAAUGUGUCAUGUAGCGGUGAAAUGCUUAGAUAUGACACAGAACACCGAUUGCGAAGGCAGCUCUCUAAACUGUAACUGACGCUGAGGCACGAAAGCGUGGGGAGCAAACAGG
RNAcentral lists this ribosomal RNA (253 nucleotides) under uncultured bacterium. Its description in RNAcentral is "partial 16S ribosomal RNA". It matches the Rfam family "Bacterial small subunit ribosomal RNA", at positions 524 to 776 of the family's 1533-position model. The record is from RNAcentral.